UACAGAGGGUGCGAGCGUUGUUCGGAAUUAUUGGGCGUAAAGGGCGCGUAGGCGGUGCGGUAAGUCACCUGUGAAAUCUCCUGGCUCAACUGGGAGCUUGCAGGCGAAACUGCCGUGCUGGAGUGUGGGAGAGGUGCGUGGAAUUCCUGGUGUAGCGGUGAAAUGCGUAGAUAUCGGGAGGAACACCAGUGGCGAAGGCGGCUCUCUGGGCCCUACCUGACGCUGAGACGCGAAAGCGUGGGGAGCGAACCGG
This 253-nucleotide ribosomal RNA is filed under the name uncultured bacterium. Its description in RNAcentral is "partial 16S ribosomal RNA". It matches the Rfam family "Bacterial small subunit ribosomal RNA", at positions 524 to 776 of the family's 1533-position model. The record is from RNAcentral.